Long non-coding RNA from Miniopterus natalensis, 2011 nucleotides. RefSeq lists it as uncharacterized. The record is from RefSeq and is a predicted model, not a curated record. NCBI's taxonomy places the organism in Eukaryota, Metazoa, Chordata, Mammalia, Chiroptera, Miniopteridae.
UCCUGAGUGGCUGCAGCGGGAAAGCACCCAAGAAGCCAGCCCUGGUCACUCUGGCUGCUGCAUGGACAACAGUCUCUCCAGAGACCCAAGCGCCACUCUUAGAUCAACGAGCCUGUGAAGUCUCUAAGGCAGGUAAGCAGGUGUUCCCAGGAGCCCAGAGACUUGGUCAUUGGGCGGGAUGUGCUGUGUGCAGACUCCAGCCAAGGUGUCCCCGAUGUCUGCCAGGUGAGUGAGGAAUUCACCCACCCAGCCAUCUUUUCAUCUGUCACUAUCCACUGUCUGCCCAUCUAAUUAUCUAUGUUUAUACUUAUCCACCCAUGUUACAAGUUUUUUAUUGAUUUUUAGAGAGGGAGAAAGGGAGGGAGGGAGAGAGAGAGAAACAUCGAUGUGACAGAGAAACGCUGAUCAGUUGCAUCCUGUGUGCACCCCAACUGGGGACCAAACCCGAAACCUAGGUAUGUGCCCUGACCUGGACUCGAAUCCGAGACCCUCCGGAUCACGGGACAACGCGCAACCCACUGAGCCACCCGGCCAGGGCCAUAUUACAACUUUCUGUUAAGCAGCGUACGCCAGGCAUUGCUGGCCCUGGGAGUAGACUGACAGGGAAAUUGGCUCGGAGAGCUGAGAAGACCUGGCGCCAGCGCCAGAGGAGGAGUCCGGCGCCCUGGCCCUCAGGACUGUCGCCUCUCCACCACACCCCACUGCGUGCCUGUGUGGAGGACAUACCCACUCCACACCUUUGCCCCUGCCAUUCGCCCCGCCUGGGAUGCCCUCACGAGCCUCACCCAGGUCCAGGCUGGCUCAGGCUUCCUGCAGGACCCUGCCCCAUCCGGUCUCUCCUCAUCGUUGGUCCUCGUGUUUAAGAAAUGCCUCCCAUGUACUGAGCAUGGAACUGGAUGCAGGGACCACAAGUGACAGAGGGAGUCCCUGCCCCCAGGAGCUCAAAGGCAGCUGCCCCUCAGCAUGGUCGGUGCAGUCACAGAAGUUCAGGGACCUAUGGGACCCAGGCCCUCCACCCGGGCCUCUGGUGACAGACGUCUGGAAGGACUCCAGCACUUUGCCACAUGGCCCUGUUCUGACCACUCCCCCCGAGUGCGGGGGCUGAAGGAGCCCUGGCUGGCGCGGUGCCCUGCGGCGCUGUGCUCGCCAGUGUUGGCUGCGUGUGGGGGGGACGGUCGCAGCCUGCUCCCCAUCCUCGUUUGCUCUCCAGUUUUGAAGUUAUCCAUCGGCCAUGUUGGCAAAAACAGAAGCUUUUUUUAAUUAAAGGGGAAGAUUUAAAGCACCCUAAAUGUCCAGUUAUAAAUUAAUAGUUGAUGAUUAAAUAACUAGACAUUGUAGACUCAGGGUUACUUGGGCAGCAUUGCUGCUGAUCGCUGGGCACCUCGAGGCCUGCCCCUUAGACCGAGUCCUUUCCCGACUAGAGUCACAUACAGCACGUGUGUGGCCCCUGUGCCAGCCACGGCUCCUUCGGCAAAGCCGCCGGCCUCCGAGGCUGUCUCUGAGGCCCCGGCCAUGCUGUUGGUGGGCAGGGAAGGCCCCACGAGGAGCAGCACCUCCAGUGGGCUGUGAGAGCGACAACGGGUGCUGCGGGCAGGGCAGAGAGGUCCAAGCAAAGAUUGCGAAGGCCCACUGCUUGCAGUUUGAGAGGUUUCUGGCAUAUUAAUAAAGGAAGUAAUGCUAAAGAAGCCUAUAGAAGCCAAGGCACAUUUUUAAAGUUUACAACGGAUGCUUUAAACAACAAAGACUUCGUUUGGCCAUGAAAGUCUGAGGUCUGGAGGUGAGCCCUCGGUAGCUGGCCUGUGACAGCCGCACACUGGAUGGCUUAAGCAACAGAAAUUCACUUUCUCACCUUUUUGGAGUCUAACAGGGUUCAUUUGCUCUGAGGCCCUCUCUUGGCUUGUAGAUGACUGUCUUUUCCCUGUGUCUUUUCCCAUCGUCUCCCCUCUGUGACUGUGUCCUAAUCUCUUCUUCUCAAGGGACACCAGUCACUGGAUUAGGGUACACCCACAAG